RNAcentral lists this ribosomal RNA (762 nucleotides) under uncultured bacterium. RNAcentral describes it as "bacterial SSU rRNA". It matches the Rfam family "Bacterial small subunit ribosomal RNA", at positions 771 to 1532 of the family's 1533-position model. The record is from RNAcentral.
AACAGGAUUAGAUACCCUGGUAGUCCACGCCGUAAACGAUGUCGACUUGGAGGCUGUUCCCUUGAGGAGUGGCUUCCGGAGCUAACGCGUUAAGUCGACCGCCUGGGGAGUACGGCCGCAAGGUUAAAACUCAAAUGAAUUGACGGGGGCCCGCACAAGCGGUGGAGCAUGUGGUUUAAUUCGAUGCAACGCGAAGAACCUUACCUACUCUUGACAUCCAGAGAAUUUAGCAGAGAUGCUUUAGUGCCUUCGGGAACUCUGAGACAGGUGCUGCAUGGCUGUCGUCAGCUCGUGUUGUGAAAUGUUGGGUUAAGUCCCGCAACGAGCGCAACCCUUAUCCUUUGUUGCCAGCACGUAAUGGUGGGAACUCAAAGGAGACUGCCGGUGAUAAACCGGAGGAAGGUGGGGAUGACGUCAAGUCAUCAUGGCCCUUACGAGUAGGACUACACACGUGCUACAAUGGCGCAUACAAAGAGAAGCGACCUCGCGAGAGCAAGCGGACCUCAUAAAGUGCGUCGUAGUCCGGAUUGGAGUCUGCAACUCGACUCCAUGAAGUCGGAAUCGCUAGUAAUCGUAAAUCAGAAUGUUACGGUGAAUACGUUCCCGGGCCUUGUACACACCGCCCGUCACACCAUGGGAGUGGGUUGCAAAAGAAGUAGAUAGCUUAACCUUCGGGAGGGCGUUUACCACUUUGUGAUUCAUGACUGGGGUGAAGUCGUAACAAGGUAACCGUAGGGGAACCUGCGGCUGGAUCACCUCCUU